Mercenaria mercenaria is the source of this 667-nucleotide long non-coding RNA. RefSeq lists it as uncharacterized. Lineage: Eukaryota; Metazoa; Mollusca; Bivalvia; Venerida; Veneridae. The transcript has 3 exons. The record is from RefSeq and is a predicted model, not a curated record.
GAAAGUUGGUUAAAGAUAAGAUUAAUGAUAGAUCAAGUUACAAGCUCCCACACAAAUGUAUAGAAACAACCCCAGGUGGAAUUUGGGUCAGUUAAGAUUUAUAUAUGCAGGCAAACAUCAGGUCAGAUGCAAAGAAAUAGUUCUUGCCUAUUCUCUUCAUUAAUUGAAAAAAAAGAAGUGUUUAUAAAAAGGAUGUUUUUACAAUAGCUUUUCAACUUAAGUAUUUGACACCUUCUUUAGCUGACCAAGAAAGUGUAUGUGUGGAAUCAAUUUAUCUGUGUAGUAAUACCAAAGUUUGAAAUCUGGCAUUUGAUGAGUCAGCCUGGGAGAAACUGGAAACACAUUGUGAGAGGUACCUUCUGUGAAAAAAGUGCAACUUUGUGACAUGAUAUUUCUGCCUGACUGUAUAUACCUGAGCAGCACACAGCUUAUUACUGCAUAAAAGAAACAUAUCAAGAUAAUUUUGAAUCAGAUUGUGUGCUGGAAAAAUGGCCUUACAUCCAAAGGAGUGAAAUUUGGAGAGUCAUUCGCCAUCUACUUAAGCCAUCCUGGAAUAUGAAAAAAUAAGACUGCAUUGACAACAUCCUGAUCCUCGUGUUCAGAUCUUUUGUGAUUUCUUGUGAAGAGUCUUUGAUUUUUCAUAAAAAUAAAAAAUAUAUUAAUAUAA